This 755-nucleotide ribosomal RNA is filed under the name Lobelia chinensis. RNAcentral's name for it is "eukaryotic LSU rRNA". The stretch from base 299 to 454 matches the Rfam family "5.8S ribosomal RNA". Lineage: Eukaryota; Viridiplantae; Streptophyta; Magnoliopsida; Asterales; Campanulaceae. The record is from RNAcentral.
UGUCCACUGAACCUUAUCAUUUAGAGGAAGGAGAAGUCGUAACAAGGUUUCCGUAGGUGAACCUGCGGAAGGAUCAUUGUCGAAACCUGCCCGCAAAGCAGAACGACCCGCGAACGAGUUAAAAAACAUUCUUUAAGUCCGUCGUGCGGGGGCGACCCCGUUCGGCGGCGCCUAACGAACCCCGGCGCGAUCCGCGCCAAGGAAUACUCAUGAAACUCGAGGUCGCUCCGGCCCGGCGCAGCCCCGUUCGCGGGCGCGCGCGCCGGUCCCGGUGUCGCCGCGAAAGAUAACACAGAACGACUCUCGACAACGGAUAUCUCGGCUCUCGCAUCGAUGAAGAACGUAGCUAAAUGCGAUACUUGGUGUGAAUUGCAGAAUCCCGUGAACCAUCGAGUCUUUGAACGCAAGUUGCGCCCGAAGCCAUUAGGCCGAGGGCACGUCUGCCUGGGCGUCACGCAUCGCGUCGCUCCCCCCAAGCAUGCAUAUAUAUAUGUGCACGGGGGAAGCGGAUACUGGCCUCCCGUGCCCCUCGCGGACGCGGCUGGCUCAAAACGGAGUCCCCGACGGAGGACGCACGACAAGUGGUGGUGGUUUUACAAAAGCACUCGCGUCGUGUCGUGCGCGCGUCCUGCGCCGGUGCCGGCUCGCGUGACCCUCUUGCGCCUCCCUCGCUCCCGCGACGGACGGUGCUUCGACCGCGACCCCAGGUCAGGCGGGACUACCCGCUGAGUUUAAGCAUAUCAAUAAGCGGAGGA